Molecule: ribosomal RNA, 253 nt
Filed under: uncultured bacterium
Lineage: Bacteria
Description: partial 16S ribosomal RNA
Rfam family: Bacterial small subunit ribosomal RNA
Source: RNAcentral
UACAGAGGUCUCAAGCGUUGUUCGGAUUCAUUGGGCGUAAAGAGCGUGUAGGCGGCCCGAUUAGUCCGCUGUGAAAGUCCAGGGCUCAACCCUGGAAUGCCGGUGGAUACUGUCGGGCUAGAGUCCGGAAGGGGCGAGUGGAAUUCCUGGUGUAGCGGUGAAAUGCGCAGAUAUCAGGAGGAACACCAAUGGCGAAGGCAGCUCGCUGGGACGUGACUGACGCUGAGGCGCGAAAGCGUGGGGAGCAAACAGG